RNAcentral lists this long non-coding RNA (2080 nucleotides) under Lynx pardinus (Iberian lynx). Lineage: Eukaryota; Metazoa; Chordata; Mammalia; Carnivora; Felidae. The record is from RNAcentral.
GUUGGAUCUUGACCUCCGUGUCUAGUGGAGAGAGUAAGUGCUGUUUUGAUUUCUUGGAUUUCUCAUAUUUAAGAGGACAAUAACACACAUAACCCGCAAGUUUUAAUUUGACUUACAAGUCAUAGGGAGUAGAUUUUGUAUCAUAAUAAGGAAUACUUCUUUCCUUAAAUUCUUAGAGAAAGGAAGAAUUGGAUUAACUCUUUACCAGUGAGGUAUUUUUCCUAUUCCCAGAAGAGGAUAAGGAGGGCAUAUAUAUUAUUCUAAUAAAAAUCAUAAAUCUAAGUUAUCUUUUUAGAAAACAAAAAGAAGAAAGAAAAGGGGGAGGGAAAGUAAACAAGUUCCAUAUUCCUAGGCUCUUUCUGCUUUAAGAAGACUAAAUAUAAACCCACAGUAUUCCUUUUUUCCAUUAACUAGAGAACUUCUAAUUCUAGCAGAAGUAUGAGCAAUGAUCAUUUAGCUUUGAGCAGUACUUUGUGUUUUCUCAUCCUCCACUUGCAUUUGUGGGUCAAAAGAGAAGUCAUUAGGGACUUGUAUUUCCUGUCUCAUCUUUUCCUUCCUCCUUUCUUAAAACUUUGUGGGAAAUCAACUUUAUAAAAUACUGAAGAGGGCCAUGUGCACUAACUUCUGAAAAGUCCUCCAUAAUUCUUACUUAUCUGUUUCCAAGUAAACUUUUCUCCCAGGGCAAAGACCAGAAUGAAUCUUGGUACAGAAGAGAAAAGUCAGUAUUUGCAACAUUUCAUCGUAUUUCUCUUAAUCAAAAGUGGGUUACUAUUGUUUUACUUUUCUUGUCUAUUUAUAACCAUUUCUUGGAAUACUGUCUGUUCUCUGUCUAUUCCCUACCCGACUGAUAAUUCCUUGGAGAAAAAAUUUAACUGACUUUAUUUACCAAACUUCAUCACUGUUGGUAUCUGUAUCUACACCUUCUGCAAUUCCAUUUUUUCUCUCUGAGAUGUAAAAUGGUUCAUUUGAAUAAAGAAUUAUCUUCACCUGAGAAUGUAGAGAUUAAAAUAUCUUCUUGUCUCAAGAAUGUAGUGUAAGGUUAUUGCCUAGUAAGUAGUUCAGGACCUUGGCCUUUUUUUCUCCUUCAAGGUUGAUUCCUCUACUGCAGUGUCUGGGUGGAUGUGGCUGACAGGUGGCAUUGCCUCAUGGCUAUUCCUAACAGCUAAUGAAAUAAAAAUAAGACUUUAUAGGAUUUCCUGGGACAAGCACUGAAGGAUGCAAGGGAAUAUCGUAUUACAUAAGACCAAGGAAAUGUUUCUCUCUGUUAUAGUGAAAAAAGUAAUAAUAGGUAUUGAAAAGGCUGAGAGUUUUAAUGAUAUUUUGCCAUUCCUUAUAUAUUUUUUUUAUUUUUUCAUAGAUAAGUGACUCCUGAGGAAAAAAGGACAGAAAUUUGAGGCAAAUUAAGAAAAAUAGAGGAAGACACAUGGAGUACCAGGAUGCAGGGUGAGAAGACCCACAUCUGCAUGUACUUAGGGGCAAUGCUCUUUCAUACGCAAAGGCCAUCAAGGUGCUCAGUGAGGAGCAUUCCUUCAGAAACAGAAGAGUCCUGAAAUUGAGGCUUCCUUUUAAGGCACUUGUUUUAGAUGACUUUUUCCUCUGCCAUUUCUAAAGAUAUCAGAAAUAUAUGAUCUUAGAGUUUGAAGCAAAAACAGACAUGUUUAACUGAACCAGUUCAGCACCUGUCCCUAGGGCUUUCCUGACGGAGACCUCACCAUGGCCCUGAUUUCGCCUAAGGGCAGUUCUAAAUAACUUGGACAGAUUUGUAGGCAGUGUCUUUGAGACGACAUUUAACGAUACCAACCCAAAUCUACCCACAACUGGUUUUAACACCACAGUAACUUUACAAGGAAGGUGGGGACUCUAGGGCUUAUCACUUUCGUCUAUGGCUUUCAUCCCAGUCAACUUCAUGCAUCAACCAAAAUGUGAUAUUUCUGAUAACCAGUAUUUGACUAUUCAGUUAUAUUUCUCCUGCUGUUGACCUGGUCCCCCUUGACUUUCUGUGCGAUUGCUCCUAAACAUGUUCCUUCUCUUUCACUGUAAACCUCUAUUCUUUCAUAAAUAAAUUGAUAGUGCACCUCAG